CUGCUGCGGGAGAGUGAGAGGUGUGUAGAGUGAGUAGAGGGAAAGCUCAGGAGCAGACAGAGGGGGGCUCGGAGGACAAGGAGGAACUGGAGAGACUGAGGAGGGAUAACAAGGAGCUGGAGGCGAUGUACAAGGAGGAGAAACUGAGGAGAGAGGAGCUUGAAGAGACCCUCAGAGACCUCAAGCCCCAGGGAAUGGACCCCCCGUUUGAGACUCUAGCCACCCCCACAGCAACGAUAUAUUUCUUUCAAAACGGUCUUCAGAAUUAGUUGUCCCUCUCUAAGCCGGACAUGUCUGGAGUUGUCUGAGUUAAAAAACAAACAAACAAAAACAUUUUGUAUAAAUAUCUACAGUAGGCCUAAACUACUGCUCUCAAUUAGAACUGUUUCCUGUAUCUUGUAUUUGAAUUUACUCUGAAAGGAAACCGAAUUCACUUUUUUUUUUUUUUAGUGGAAUGGAAUGUACUUUUCUAAGCAAAUGUUUUUCUGAGACGUUUAACGGCUCUUAGUCGAAUUUGCUCUCAAACGUGAUUAUUUUCUGUAUUGUUCUUAGUUGAAUUUGCUCCUGUUUGCCGCUGACUUGACUGUAUUUUUAUAACGGCUCUUAUCUGUAAUGUGAUAUUUUGUAACACCUGUAAGUCGCCCUGGAUAAGGGCGUCUGCUAAGAAAUAAAUAAUAAUAAUAAUAAUAAUAA
This is a long non-coding RNA of Acipenser ruthenus (sterlet), 693 nucleotides long. RefSeq lists it as uncharacterized. The transcript is spliced from 3 exons. NCBI's taxonomy places the organism in Eukaryota, Metazoa, Chordata, Actinopteri, Acipenseriformes, Acipenseridae. The record is from RefSeq and is a predicted model, not a curated record.